Molecule: ribosomal RNA, 253 nt
Filed under: uncultured bacterium
Lineage: Bacteria
Description: partial 16S ribosomal RNA
Rfam family: Bacterial small subunit ribosomal RNA
Source: RNAcentral
UACAGAGGGUGCGAGCGUUCAUCGGAAUUCCUGGGCGUAGAGCGUGCGUAGACGGUCGCGUAAGUCAGAUGUGAAAGCCCCGGGCUCAACCUGGGAACUGCAUUUGAGACUGCUCUGCUCGGGUGCGGAAGAGGGAAGCGGAAUUUCCGGUGUAGCGGUGAAAUGCGUAGAUAUCGGAAGGAACACCAGUGGCGAAAGCGGCUUCCUGGUCCGACACCGACGUUCAGGCACGAAAGCGUGGGGAGCAAACAGG